GGCUCUCGGAGGUGGCUUGUCGCUMGCCAGCCCCGGCCGGGCCCGGGAGGCGCGUCCCCAGAUUCUCCAGCUUGUCCUUUCCCCUCCCGGCGUUAACAACUUCAACCCUAUCUGCGUACCUAUCCAUGUUGCUUUCCCGGGAGCAGCGGUCUGACCGCCCGUCGGCUGCCCCUGAGUCUCCCGGGAGAGGUCCCGAUCCAACCACGCUGUCCACCCCGCCUCCGUCUGACGGCCCACGCGCCACCAAAGCGAAACAAGCAACGAAUCGAAAAACUUUCAACAACGGAUCUCUUGGUUCUCGCAUCGAUGAAGAACGCAGCGAAAUGCGAUAAGUAAUGUGAAUUGCAGAAUUCAGUGAAUCAUCGAAUCUUUGAACGCACAUUCCGCCCCCCUGGCAUUCCGGGGGGCAUGCCUGUUCGAGCGUCUCAAAGACGCUCUCACAAACACUGUGGUCAUGGCGGCGGUGGCAGGCCCGAGAUGGCAGCCACCCCGCCGGAAUACAUAGGCGGGCGCCUGCCGUGAGCCUGAGCGUAGCAUGAAAAGGACCCGCGGACUCACCGGGUCGUCAGCCCAGCCUUGGCCCCUCACCGGGCGAGAAGACAACGACGCACUCCUCGAAUCAGGUAGGGAUACCCGCUGAACUUAAGCAUAUCAAUAAGCGGAGGGAAAAGAAACCAACAGGAU
Molecule: ribosomal RNA, 684 nt
Rfam family: 5.8S ribosomal RNA (bases 272-426)